This 253-nucleotide ribosomal RNA is filed under the name uncultured bacterium. RNAcentral's name for it is "partial 16S ribosomal RNA". It matches the Rfam family "Bacterial small subunit ribosomal RNA", at positions 524 to 776 of the family's 1533-position model. The record is from RNAcentral.
UACAGAGGGUGCAAGCGUUAAUCGGAAUUACUGGGCGUAAAGCGCGCGUAGGUGGUUCGUUAAGUUGGAUGUGAAAUCCCCGGGCUCAACCUGGGAACUGCAUUCAAAACUGUCGAGCUAGAGUACGGUAGAGGGUGGUGGAAUUUCCUGUGUAGCGGUGAAAUGCGUAGAUAUAGGAAGGAACACCAGUGGCGAAGGCGACCACCUGGACUGAUACUGACACUGAGGUGCGAAAGCGUGGGGAGCAAACAGG